CCCGCUGGUAUCGAUGAGGGCGAGUCGCUGGUCACGUGACGCAGAAGAGCAAAGAUGGCGUCCGUGGCAGAACCUCUCACUCUCCAGCAAGAUGUCAAAAGGGCUGUGGAACUAUUGGAUAAGCUGCAAAAAACUGGAGAGGUACCAUCAGCCAAGUUGGCAGCACUACAGCGCGUUCUUCAGUCUGAAUUUCUAACGGCUGUUCGAGAAGUAUAUGAGCAUGUUUAUGAGACUGUAGAUAUCUCGGGCUCACCUGAAAUACGUGCAUCAGCAACAGCAAAAGCAACAGUAGCUGCAUUUGCUGCAAGUGAGGGCCAUGCCCACCCAAGAGUUGUAGAGCUUCCCAAGACUGAUGAAGGAUUGGGGUUUAAUGUGAUGGGAGGCAGAGAACAGAAUUCUCCCAUAUAUAUAUCCCGCAUCAUUCCUGGUGGUGUAGCGGAUCGCCAUGGUGGUCUUAAGAGAGGUGACCAGCUCCUGUCUGUGAAUGGAGUGAGUGUCGAGGGUGAGAACCAUGAACGUGCGGUGGAGUUGCUGAAAGCUGCCAGCGGUUCGGUCAAGUUGGUGGUCCGGUAUACCCCUCGAGUGUUGGAGGAGAUGGAGAUGCGAUUCGACAAACAGCGGGCGUCACGUAGGCGAACUUCCCAAUUACAGUAGUGACUUCCCUAGUGGAGGACUGGCGAGAGCUGGUGUAACUCCGUGCGAGGGAUGGGGAACAAGCUGAGAGCCAGCCAGGUGGAGGACAGUGGAAUUGAAGAUGCCACAACAGGUUGCAGCUCCAGACCAAAGAUGAUCAUUCUUUCCAAUUUGUAAUCUUUAGUCACGAACAUUUUAAGCCGUAUGUCUUGUGCAUCCAGUACCCCCAUACCAGCCACCCCCUACCCCUCUCAGCUGGGUUUCUUGUAAUCCAUUAACAGUCCCUUUAGUCUGUCCCCACGUAGAGAGAAGAAGAUCCUUCUGUGUAAUAUUGAUAUCAAAUCCUGUAUCGUAAAAGCUUUCAGAAUUAGACAUUAUAAUGUAAUCUUCUCCAUCUUUUUAAGGAUUGCGUAUUUUCCAGUUUUGCCCCCCUCCCCCCCCUAGUUUCGGUUGUUUUAGGUAUAUUUGCCGUCUUGCUAUACAGACUGACAUUUGUAUAGAUUUGACUUUUUCAGAGAAAAUUUUAACUUGAUUAUUCCAGAAAUUAGUCGUAAUUUGUCAUUUAAAACUAUAAAUGUAUGUUAAUGUAGUAAAACAUCAUUGACUUUUUUCUGUUCAAGGGUUUGAGAAAACCAAUGUUUCAUGUGAAUGAAUGCAUGAGUGUAAAUUCCCAUUGUUCUUAAAGGUAAGGGCAGCUACAAAAGUAUAUAUGAGUGUAUGCUUGUGUCUGGACAAAUAUUUUUCUCAUUUUCUUUAUACUUUUUUCAUUUUCCUUGGCAUGAAUUGUUUGCUGUAGGUUUAACAUAUCAUUUUUAAAUAACCAUAUUUACAUAUAGAAACUGGAUACUGACCAAUCAAAAUAUGUACAUGUGUCAUAUAUAAUACCACAUAAGUAAUGUUGGUUCAGUAAUGGAGAACGGGAUUGACACGUUAAUUGUGUUCAGCUAGUCUUUAAAGAAUAUAUUUCAUGUAUUUUGAUUGCCAAUCUUAGUUCAUUAUGCAUUUUCAUUUAUUGCAGAUAGAUUGAACUCUUGUUCAAAUUUCAUUUUUCAUGAAUAAACCAAGAUUUCUGAUAUGUAUUGAAAUAAUAUGAAAUGGUAUAGAUGUAUAUCAAAUAUACUUAUAACUAUGAA
Molecule: unclassified non-coding RNA, 1766 nt
Filed under: Penaeus chinensis
Lineage: Eukaryota; Metazoa; Arthropoda; Malacostraca; Decapoda; Penaeidae
Description: protein lin-7 homolog C-like, transcript variant X3
Source: RNAcentral